CAAGAGUCCAGACCUGAUUUUGAUACAUGGAAUCCAUCUUGGAUUUCAUGGCCUCUUGCCAUCUCUUUGAAUCAAUGUCGAACAUUGCUUCAAUGUAGUCUCUAGGGUCCUCCUUCAUGUCAUUGUCACCUAGAAGGUGCAAUUCCCCAAAGUCAUUAUCUAAGCCAUACCUCUUAGGAGGCUUGCUGACCCGUUCAGAUCUACUUGAAGCUAGGGGUUCAGGAAUAGGGUUGUUAACUUGUCGAGUGCUUGUUUGUGGUUCAUCAUUAAUCUCAUUAAUUUCCAUCAUUUUACUUGUAGUUCAUUUGAGAACAAAUUUGUCCUCUAGAAACUUAGCAGUUCUGGCGACAAAGACUUUAUGGUCGUCAAGAUGGUAGAACUCAUAUCCCAUAAUUUCUUUAGGAUAUCCCACAAAAUAGUACCUAACGGAUCUCACUUCAAGCUUAAUAGCUUCAAGCUUCUUGACAUAUGCUUCACAACUCCAAAUCUUAAUAUGAUUAAGACUUGGCUUUUUGCCAUGCC
RNAcentral lists this long non-coding RNA (522 nucleotides) under Malus domestica (apple). Its description in RNAcentral is "long non-coding RNA (MDOM_LNC017402)". Lineage: Eukaryota; Viridiplantae; Streptophyta; Magnoliopsida; Rosales; Rosaceae. The record is from RNAcentral.